CCAAAUGGCGGAUGACGCCGGUGCAGCGGGAGGGCCCAGAGGCCCCGGGGGCCCUGGAAUGGGAGGCCGCGGCGGCUUCUGUGGAGGCUUCGGCAGGGCAUUCGUGGCCGUGGUCGGGGCCAGGGCCUAGGUCGCGGAGCUCGCGGAGGCAAGGCCGAGGACAAGGAGUGGAUGCCCGUGACCAAGCUGGGCCGCCUGGUUAAGGACAUGAAGAUCAAAUCCCUGGAGGAGAUCUAUCUGUUCUCCUUGCCUAUCAAGGAGUCUGAGAUCAUUGAUUUUUUUCCUGGGAGCAUCUCUCAAAGAUGAGGUUUUGAAGAUCAUGCCAGUGCAAAAGCAGACCCGCGCUGGCCAGCGGACCAGGUUCAAGGCGUUUGUUGCUAUUGGGGACUACAAUGGCCACGUUGGUCUAGGUGUUAAGUGCUCCAAGGAGGUAGCCACUGCCAUCCGAGGGGCCAUCAUCCUGGCCAAGCUCUCCAUAGUCCCCGUGCGGAGAGGCUACUGGGGGAACAAGAUCGGCAAGCCCCACACUGUUCCUUGCAAGGUGACAGGCCGCUGUGGCUCUGUGCUGGUGCGUCUCAUCCCUGCCCCUAGAGGAACUGGCAUUGUCUCGGCCCCUGUGCCCAAGAAGCUGCUGAUGAUGGCUGGUAUCGAUGACUGCUACACUUCAGCCAGGGGUUGCGCUGCCACCCUGGGCAACUUCGCAAAGGCCACCUUCGAUGCCAUCUCCAAGACCUAUAGCUAUCUGACUCCUGACCUUUGGAAAGAGACAGUAUUCACCAAGUCUCCCUACCAGGAAUUCACUGACCAUCUUGUCAAGACCCACACCAGAGUCUCUGUGCAGAGGACCCAGGCUCCAGCUGUGGCUACCACAUAGCAUUUUUAUAUGAGAAAAAUAAAGUGAAAUUAAG
Molecule: non-coding RNA, 908 nt
Organism: Microcebus murinus (gray mouse lemur)
Lineage: Eukaryota; Metazoa; Chordata; Mammalia; Primates; Cheirogaleidae
Source: RefSeq, a predicted model, not a curated record